UGGGACUCGGGAGGAGAUGCGUCGCUGCCAUCCUGGUCCGCCAUUUCUCCUGACGUCAGCUGAGAGGGAUCAACGGCAGGAACCCGAGGGGACCUGCCGGAGUGAUCCUGAGGCAGGCCGGGCACCCUCCCACGGACAGACUGUGCAGCCCCCCCCUCUCUGGACCCCCAGUAAAAUGGCUACUCAUUGGUGCACAGCAAGCUGCAACCAUGGCAACCAGCUGUUUGGCAUGGAAGGAGGAGAUGUUGGCCUGUAGACUAAAGCAGGCAGAGGAGUCCUGCUGUUGUUUAUGGGAUGUGACUGACAACUGAAAACAACACAAGUAGGCCUGAACGGAAUUGAUGAAGAGACUUUGACACUUUGAGAAAGUUUAAGUUGUUUUCCUCCCCAAGAGUUAAAGAAGAACACUGAUACCACUCUCUCGCAAGAGUUCGAUUUACCAACUUGAGCCACUGGUGGUCGUAGUAGCGCUCUUCUACUGUUUAUCUGAUUCGUUGAAGUUAGCUCACAAUAGACGAUGGCUUGUCCAAUCAACUAUUUUUUGUACGUACUCGCCCUUUUCCAAACAGAUUCCAGAGCUUCUGUGUUAGCAUUGUAAGCACCUACACUUGAGCUGUACCUGAGCUGAGGCAGCUACAGUUAGCACCAAUCAGCGGCUACUCUGGUGAUGUGCUGCCCCGUUUCUUUCUCCAGACAAAGUCAGACAAGCUCUUUCCCCAUGUUAGUUAUGCUGGUUUAAGCUUCAAAUUCAGUGCAGACAAGAAAGCAAAUAAGUGAAUUUUCCAGAAUGCUGGCAAAAGAACCUGGCAGCAGCUUGUUUCACACUCUAAUAUUGAUAUCUAAUGCAGCAAUACAAAACGUGACUGUCAGCUCUUCAGGGUAAUAGACAACCAAAUGAAUUAGAUUAGUUUUUGUGUUUUCGUGCCAUGGGUGAUUAAAGGAGAGCAGAGCCGAAAUUACUCAGUGGAGUCGACUCAAAAAUAUCUUGUUUUGUUCUGAAUCCAUGAAGAAGAAAAUAAAUCAGAAUUAAUACUAAAGGGAUGGGAAAACAAAUUCCAAUUAAAGUGGGAGUGCCCUUUUUAAAUGAC
This is a long non-coding RNA of Acanthopagrus latus (yellowfin seabream), 1088 nucleotides long. RefSeq lists it as uncharacterized. The record is from RefSeq and is a predicted model, not a curated record. NCBI's taxonomy places the organism in Eukaryota, Metazoa, Chordata, Actinopteri, Spariformes, Sparidae. The transcript is spliced from 3 exons.